Molecule: long non-coding RNA, 2148 nt
Organism: Astatotilapia calliptera (eastern happy)
Lineage: Eukaryota; Metazoa; Chordata; Actinopteri; Cichliformes; Cichlidae
Source: Ensembl
UGUGUAGCUUUGCUCUGAGGUCCAGAACAUAUUGUAUUUCAUUAUUUAGCCGGGCUUGGACCUUCCCCACAGUUGUUUCUUUCCACGGCUUCCUGCCAAACAACAACUAAGCAUAUCAAUAUAUAACACCACCCUUUUGACCUGAUAUGGCUUUUACUUUCUCAUCAUCAGACUGAGACUAUGAUGACUGAUUUAAUCCAUGUACAUAGACACAUACCAUGAUUUAGCACCAUCCGUCAAUCCAUUCAUCUAUCUAUAAAUUUAAUCUGUUUGUGUGUGUACCAUUAAAUUUCUGUGAGCCAGCAUAAACAUGUGAGGUCAGUGCAACUGAAAACAUGACAGGAAAAAGUUAAAUAUAUAUUAUAUUACAUAACCAUUAAUAAUUCAGUGACAGUCACCCCAGACAAAAAAAAAUUCCAUAUCAUUUGCAUGGCUCUUGUUUUCUUCCCCUUUCCUCAUAGGGGAGGUGCAUAGGAACCAAUUUCCUCAUUUACUCCUGGUUUUAAAAGCUAUCUUGCUUAAAUGAAGACAACUGGAUUACCACGGGAAGAAAUGAAUUUUUAAAAUAUAUCAUAAGAUUAAUAGGUGUAUGUUGCUAGGGGCGUUGUGUUUGUCACGAAUCAGCAAUAACAAGCAUUUUUACUACUCAAACAGAAACGGUGUGUUCUGUUUCACAAUGAAUAGUUAAGUAAUGGCUUCCAGCUAUCUAACCAGAAGUUUUGAACAAACUCAGAGCUCUGUUGGAGGCUGCAGUGUGUUUUUUAAGUGUUUAUGACAAAGCAAACACUUUUAUCUAUGCAACUGAGCACAGUAACAGUUUCAUUUCUUUUGUGCAGGGCAGUUUAAUGUGACAUAUUCAUUUUUAAAAAAUUGCAUGUAAAGCUUUCGGAUAAUUUGUAGCCAAUGUGAACAGUACAGAACACUAAGUACUGUCAAAUCAAAGGUAUUUCGUGACAGGUGAACAACUGGAGCAGCUCAGAGACAGCUUUUUACCCUCCCAUUCUUUAAACACAUGCUCACUCUUACAAUCACCACUGCAGUAGCCUUUAUAACUACUCAUAUUUCAUGGCUAUGAUAGUGGAGCCCUAAAACAUGUUGCACACACAGACCUAGCAUGUGUGUUACUGCACUCCAAGUUAGCAAACAACUGGUGCACUCUGAACACUAAACCGCACUCACACAAAAGUGAAGGCCAAAAGUUCUCGCAGAGACUGGGGCACACUGGACAUUCCUGUAAAGUUAAGUCAAAAUAGUUUAGAAUGUUAUACAUGGAGGUUUUCUGAAACUACAUUAACCUGAAGGGAAUUAACAUGAACUACAUCAAAUUAAAUCUUUGCUCAAAGUCAUUCCAAAUAUUUUACAAUAAUACCUAUGUGCCUGCAUUUGCAUGCAAAAGACCCCAGUAACUAUACAAUUUCUAUAUCAGUUUAUUAUUUAGAACAAAUGACCUAAAUCUUUCCAAAAAGAAAAGCUGCCCAGAAUUUUGUACAUUUUAAAAAAAAGUACUAAACCCUCUAUUAUGUAUAACAACAGAAUCGGCUCCUUCAGACCAUUAAAUCGACUGUCACCAACCUCCACUGUGUAUAUUCAGUCAGACUGUUUUAAACCUCAAGUAUAAUUGUUUAUUUCAGUACAAAAAAGCGUUUUCCUCACAUGCAAUUUGGUUUUUAAAGCAAUCACUGUAAAAUAAAACACACUAAAAUCCACUGAGUGUUAAAAUAUCAGCAGUUAAAUGAGAUGAUGUUAUAGGGACAAGCACACAUAUGGAAUUAAUUAAAAAGGCAUUUAUAACUUAAAAUGUGAGUAAAAAUAUUCAGUUUUUUCAAGGACAAUAGAUCUAAUGGUCCAUUUCCAACAUUUACAUGUUUUGAACAUUUAGAUAUUUUGCUGUGUUUGUAUUCCAGGGAAUUCCUGUCCAAGUGCAGGAAGAUCCAGUACAGGCACAAGGAGGAUGAGGAGGAUGCUAAUGUUGCAAGUCUCAGAUCAACCAGCUGAGCGCUAAGAGCUAUGACUCUGGGAAGUUGUCCACAGCAUAAAAAGAUCCUGGACGAGCCCCCACUUGUGUUACGUCCACCCCACCAUGGUGGAGGCAAAGGAAGGAAGGAGACAGCAACACCGGAAAACCACAAUCAAUGAAGGAGGACAACA